ACUUUAAUAAUUUAAAUAAAAUAAUGGUCUUGUAAAUCAUCAAUAAGCUACAAGCUUUUAAAGUA
Molecule: transfer RNA, 65 nt
Filed under: Cryptocephalus rugicollis
Lineage: Eukaryota; Metazoa; Arthropoda; Insecta; Coleoptera; Chrysomelidae
Description: tRNA-Thr
Source: RNAcentral